This 253-nucleotide ribosomal RNA is filed under the name uncultured bacterium. RNAcentral's name for it is "partial 16S ribosomal RNA". It matches the Rfam family "Bacterial small subunit ribosomal RNA", at positions 524 to 776 of the family's 1533-position model. The record is from RNAcentral.
UACGUAGGGUGCAAGCGUUAAUCGGAAUUACUGGGCGUAAAGCGUGCGCAGGCGGCUUUGCAAGACAGAUGUGAAAUCCCCGGGCUCAACCUGGGAACUGCAUUUGUGACUGCAUGGCUGGAGUGCGGCAGAGGGGGAUGGAAUUCCGCGUGUAGCAGUGAAAUGCGUAGAUAUGCGGAGGAACACCGAUGGCGAAGGCAAUCCCCUGGGCCUGCACUGACGCUCAUGCACGAAAGCGUGGGGAGUAAACAGG